Molecule: long non-coding RNA, 1324 nt
Organism: Haliotis rubra (blacklip abalone)
Lineage: Eukaryota; Metazoa; Mollusca; Gastropoda; Lepetellida; Haliotidae
Exons: 2
Source: RefSeq, a predicted model, not a curated record
CUGGAAUAUUGCCAAAAGCGGCGUAAAACCAAACAAAGUCAGUCAUUCAUUGAGGCUACAUUUUUUAACUCGUAUCAUUUAACAAAAUACCUUGUGACGUGUGUAUCAUCAGAAGUUGGUAAUACACUUUAUUACCAAGGGCGAAAAUAUCGAGGUUCAUAUUUUUCAUACGAUGCCCUUUGGCAAUAUAUCACUUUGAAAUGGUGACGUGAUGUCAUGAACAAUGCUAUGACGUCACGUUACUUCUAUGACGCUGCGUUCUACAUGCAGCAACGGCGGGUAGCCAGCCUAUGCUUGAGUAGAUUUGGGUUUAUUUUCCUCAAUUUGAUGACUUCGUAAUAAAUAAAUCAUUAUAUUCGUGCUCCAUACCAUACUAUGUUUACGCACACUGGUGCCUAAAUAUCGGUAUAUCCCGAUGUGACAUGGACACUCAUAUAAUAUCCUCUACGUACUUCCACACAAGCAGAGGGGCAAACACAUGACAAGUUAUAAGCAUGUAUACAUUUGACGUUCUGUACACUGUGGGCUUCUGAAAGGGUCAAUCCGUACCUGGAUAUUUUCUAGCUGACACUAUUCUAGGUUAAAAAAGGGAUCAAAAGUAUUCUUAUGUUGGUAAAGUUCCAAGGGCAGAAAUAGACAUUUUAUGACUGGCCAGAAAAGCACUUGAUGUCACCAUUGUUAUAAGUAUAUCUACACUUAAUACAUGAUUGAAGGAAUGUAUAUAUUUUUGCAACAAGUUUCAGUUACUUUUUAUCAAGUUUUUUGAAAACUAAAGUGUCUGGAGAACCAGGUUAUAUUGAUCUGGACCAACUUGAGGAUGAGUGUCUUUCUUAAACUGAUCCUAAAACUUCUUGAAAUGUAGAGCAUGCAACUGGGAAUCUUGAAUAAUGGACUUUACUACAUGAAUGUUAAAAGGACUGCUUCUUCUUAACAGUUUUCAUGUCACGCUCCAUAAUCCCUGUGGUCCACAGUGAUUCAGUAUGAUCCUCUGUGAUCCUGCGUUUGACCACCUGUGACCAAAUAUGAUCCAUGGUGCUUCUGUGUAACCACCUGUGAUCCUCUUUGAUUCUGUGUGAUCUGAUCGGUGAUCCCAUGUGACCACCUGUGAUCUUCUGUGAUCACCUGUGAUCUUCUGUGAUCACCUGUGAUCUUCUGUAAUCCCAUGUGACCACCUGUGAUCUUCUGUGAUCCCAUGUAUCUUAUCACAUUGUGUUGAUUUCACUGUCGAAAAUGUCACCAUGGUUAUAAGUGCCACUCAGACUUCAUACAUUUAUGUUACCUGAAGCUUUGAACAAUUUGUACAGCAAUAAAUUAUAUCACUGGA